RNAcentral lists this ribosomal RNA (251 nucleotides) under uncultured bacterium. RNAcentral describes it as "partial 16S ribosomal RNA". It matches the Rfam family "Bacterial small subunit ribosomal RNA", at positions 525 to 775 of the family's 1533-position model. The record is from RNAcentral.
ACGUAGGGGGCAAGCGUUGUCCGGAAUGAUUGGGCGUAAAGGGCGCGUAGGCGGCCAACUAAGUCUGGAGUGAAAGUCCUGCUUUUAAGGUGGGAAUUGCUUUGGAAACUGGAUGGCUUGAGUGCAGGAGAGGUAAGCGGAAUUCCCGGUGUAGCGGUGAAAUGCGUAGAGAUCGGGAGGAACACCAGUGGCGAAGGCGGCUUACUGGACUGUAACUGACGCUGAGGCGCGAAAGUGUGGGGAGCAAACAG